AUCCUAUUUCGCUUUUUACUAUGCUGAUUCUCACAGAAAACAUUUUUUAUUGUUAUUAGAGAUAAUUGCCUAUAUACUUCUCAGAACUUCAAAAAUAUUGCAUUUACCUCUACUUUUUUUUUUCUUUUCAAUAUACCCCUCAUAUGUUCAUCUGUUAUUUCAAAAUACCCCUACAACUACCGGAUGUUAAGUUAAUUUAGAUUAAAUAUGAGUUAAAUAUCUAUCACAGUUAAAAAAAAAUUAAAAUGCCACUUUUGUCCUUAACUUAAAGGCAAAUAAGAAAUAUUAGUGAUGGUAAAAAUGUAUAUUUGAAAAGACCAAAAAGCAAAAUAUUUUUUUGCUCCUAACUUAAGGACAAAUAAGAAAAGUCAGUUAUGAUAGAAGAGUAUAUUUGAAAAGGCAAAAUAAUAAUUUUAUAGAAAUAAUAGAAUUCAUUAACAGAUUUUAAUUAUAAGGGUAUAUUUGAAAUAGGUUGAAAUGUAAAAAAAAUAUUUUCAAUAUUAGCCUUAAAUAAGAAAGUCGAAAUUUUUUCAGAAAUAUAUAAGCAAUUGCCCCUUAUUAUUAUUAUUAUUAUUAUCAUUAUUAUUAUUUAAUCAAACUUGUAGGUCCUCGACAUCAAGCCCUCUUUCAAACACAUCUAAAACUCCACCCAAGAGACGAAGCCUCAAAUUUUUUUCGCUAGUCUUAGAUGUUUUUCGAGAGAAAGAUAGCAUUCUACCUAUUUUGUUUGUUUUUUUCAAAAAUAAAUUAAGUUGAAAAUGUGAAACAACUAGACUUCGAAUCUGAGACUUCAGUACCAAUCAUCAAAUCCGUUGGCACUUAUCCUAGGAACAGUCGGUACUAGUCUUAGAUGUUUUUCUUUUAGAGAAAGGUAUCAUGCUACCCGCUUCGUUUAUUUCAUUUUAGAAAUAAACUUAGCUGAAAAUGUGAAACAAUUAGACUUUGAAUCUGAGACCUCAGUACCAAUCACCAAAUCCAUUGGCACUUACGCUAGGACCAGUUGGUACUAGUCUUAGAUGUUUUUUUUUUUUUUUUUGAGAGAGAUAGGUAGCACGAUACCCGCUUCGUUUAUUUCAUUUAAAAGUAAACUUAGCUAGAAAUGUGAAUCAACUAGGAUUCGAAUUUGAGUCUCGAAUACCGACCAAGCUCUUUGUCACUUGCUUUAGGGACAGUCGGUUACUAGUCUUAGACGUUGAAACUACAUUUUUGUGGGUUUGCGCUGGAUGCCACGGAAUACUAUUAGCCACAAGUGUCAGCAUCUGUUUUUUUUUUUUGAGAAAAAGGUAGCACGCUACUCGCUUCAUUCAACGGAAUGAUGAAUUAGGCUACAAGGGUGGGGCAGCCAGG
RNAcentral lists this long non-coding RNA (1347 nucleotides) under Ananas comosus (pineapple). RNAcentral's name for it is "long non-coding RNA (ACOM_LNC020507)". Lineage: Eukaryota; Viridiplantae; Streptophyta; Magnoliopsida; Poales; Bromeliaceae. The record is from RNAcentral.